Molecule: long non-coding RNA, 592 nt
Organism: Oreochromis aureus
Lineage: Eukaryota; Metazoa; Chordata; Actinopteri; Cichliformes; Cichlidae
Source: Ensembl
CUGUUUUCAUCUGCUUGAAGAGUGACUUUGAAGAUGUUGGAGAAAACUCAGACUUGUCUGACUCUGACCCAGAGAUUGUUAUUAAAAGGCCCUCUGAGUUUGAUCUUGCUGAUACAUUGCCAUGGGAACUUCAACAUGACAGCAGUCCUUUACAGAAAGCAGCAGAAUAUGAGUAAGUGAUAUUUGAAGAACAUGUAAUCUUUUACUGUUUUUUGCCUACACUUUGUAUUAAUGAGAUAUACACUUUUGUCAUUCAUUCUGUAUAUGGUUUUUGGAACAUGGACUACAUAAUACUUGUAUUGCUUGUUUGUUAAUCAAGAUGCUUAAAUAUUUUCAAAGUGUCAAUUAAUAUUUUCACAGUACACAACAAAAAUGCUUUUCUUUGUUCUCUAAGGAAGGGUGCUGGGGAUCUUGUGCUUGCUAAUGAAGUACAACAGGUAAAAAACUAUUUUAUUAGUAAAACAGUGCAGCAGACAAUCUCCACCGCCUUUACUUUGCAAUUAGAUAACGAUUCACUGUUUGCUGAGCCCCCAGAAGAACCUGUGUUAGUAAUUUAAACAUUUGAAUCCAAUUAACUGCCAUCUUGUUCUAU